Long non-coding RNA from Alnus glutinosa, 693 nucleotides. RefSeq lists it as uncharacterized. NCBI's taxonomy places the organism in Eukaryota, Viridiplantae, Streptophyta, Magnoliopsida, Fagales, Betulaceae. The record is from RefSeq and is a predicted model, not a curated record. The transcript is spliced from 3 exons.
UUACUACCUUAUCUUCUGAUGGUGUUUUCUUACCUUCUUCUUCAUCUUCUUCUUCUCCUAUUUUACCAAAUGUCAUACCCGACAUCCCUCAUUCAUCUCAAACACAACCUGAUUCUCACUCUUCUGAACAUCAUCUACAAUUUGAUCCUCCAUCAUCUGAUCCUUCAUCAUCUCAAUUACAAUCUGACCUUCAGCCAUCUGACCCUCCUAUACAAUCUGAUCUUCCUUCCUCUGAUCCUCAACCGAUUUCCAUUUCAUCUCUUCAACCUUCAAGAAGAUCAUCUUGGGUUAAGCACAAACCAGGCUACUUACAGCAGUACCACUGUCAGGUUGCUUUUCAUCAUGCUUCAUCUCCGUCUUCCAUAAAGUCGGAUUUAGGAUCGUAUCCAGAUUGGAGACUUUGAUUGGUUCUCCAAUGUAGAGUCCAAGUAACUAGAACACGGAGGAGUAUUCGGGUCAUGAGUCCUAUGCAGCUAAGAUGAUAUCCUUGUGGCUGCAGGUACUUUGGUCGUAGUUGGUGGUGUGGUAGAAGUGUACCUGGAGUAUUAUGACUAAAGCUCGCCGCAACAGUCAUAAUUGGUGGACCACGGGUUGUCCAUUGUUUUAUAGGUUUUGUUUAUAGCUUGUGAAGCUUGUGUCACUUAUUCUUGUAAAGCCAUUUCUGUUGUGUAUUUAUAUUGAGGAAAGACUUAA